This 455-nucleotide ribosomal RNA is filed under the name uncultured bacterium. RNAcentral's name for it is "bacterial SSU rRNA". It matches the Rfam family "Bacterial small subunit ribosomal RNA", at positions 335 to 783 of the family's 1533-position model. The record is from RNAcentral.
ACUCCUACGGGAGGCAGCAGUGGGGAAUAUUGCACAAUGGGCGCAAGCCUGAUGCAGCCAUGCCGCGUGUAUGAAGAAGGCCUUCGGGUUGUAAAGUACUUUCAGCAGUGAGGAAGGUGGGUAUGUUAAUAGCAUACUCAUUUGACGUUAGCUGCAGAAGAAGCACCGGCUAACUCCGUGCCAGCAGCCGCGGUAAUACGGAGGGUGCGAGCGUUAAUCGGAAUUACUGGGCGUAAAGCGCAUGCAGGUGGUUUGUUAAGUCAGAUGUGAAAGCCCGGGGCUCAACCUCGGAAUUGCAUUUGAAACUGGCAAACUAGAGUACUGUAGAGGGGGUUAGAAUUUCAGGUGUAGCGGUGAAAUGCGUAGAGAUCUGAAGGAAUACCGGUGGCGAAGGCGGCCCCUGGACAGAUACUGACACUCAGAUGCGAAAGCGUGGGAGCAAACAGGAUUACGAU